Molecule: ribosomal RNA, 445 nt
Filed under: uncultured bacterium
Lineage: Bacteria
Description: SSU rRNA
Rfam family: Bacterial small subunit ribosomal RNA
Source: RNAcentral
AGAGCGAACGCUGGCGGCAGGCCUAACACAUGCAAGUCGAGCGCCCGUAGCAAUACGGGAGCGGCAGACGGGAUAGUAACACGUGGGAACGCGCCCUUCGGUUCGGAAUAACUCAGGGAAACUUGAGCUAAUACCGGAUACGCCCUUACGGGGAAAGAUUUAUUGCCGAAGGAACGGCCCGCGUCCGAUUAGCUAGUUGGUGAGGUAAUGGCUCACCAAGGCGACGAUCGGUAGCUGGUCUGAGAGGACGACCAGCCACACUGGGACUGAGACACGGCCCAGACUCCUACGGGAGGCAGCAGUGAGGAAUUUCGCAAUGGCGAAAGCCUGACGGAGCGACGCCGCGUGCACGAGGAAGGCCUUCGGGUCGUAAACUGCUUUUCGUCGGGGAAGAGACGGACGGUACCCGAGGAAUCAGCCCGGCUAACUACGUGCCAGCAGCCGC